CCACAGCCAAUUAAAGCACCAGAUCCCUUCCUUCAGGGGCCUGGUAAUGACUGUGGAGAGCGGACUCAGUGGUAGUGGAUGUAGCCUGUUGCCUGUAUGCGUUUCCCAAAAAACAUCUUGGGUACGGUU
This is a small nucleolar RNA of Rattus norvegicus (Norway rat), 129 nucleotides long. Ensembl annotates it as small nucleolar RNA SNORA70. The record is from Ensembl. NCBI's taxonomy places the organism in Eukaryota, Metazoa, Chordata, Mammalia, Rodentia, Muridae.